Molecule: long non-coding RNA, 396 nt
Organism: Archocentrus centrarchus (flier cichlid)
Lineage: Eukaryota; Metazoa; Chordata; Actinopteri; Cichliformes; Cichlidae
Exons: 3
Source: RefSeq, a predicted model, not a curated record
CUCCGAUGCUGAGCGAGCUGUUAAGGAAAAGGGAGACGGAGAUUCAUUGGAAAAAGAGCACAAAAAGCGAUAUAUAAGAGUCAGAGGUCGGAGGCGGCGCCAUUUUGUGUUGCGCUGUCCUCUCGUGAGAUCGGUCAGGUUUUUUUUUUUCUUUUCCUUGGUUUGUUUUAUUUGUGAUGUGAUGGCGAGCCAAUCCCACAGACGAGCCAGACAACUUCUUCCCGUGCUGCCCUGCACAGUGCGGUAGGCCAGCUGCGACAAGGAUCUCUGCCACACCAUUCUGCACCUGCUGUCCUCUUUCACACACACACACAUACACUGACGUUCCCCUGGACUUUUAGACGCUUUAAGGACUUCUACGGACUCAGUACACUCCCACAGGCAGGAAGCGGACCU